RNAcentral lists this ribosomal RNA (255 nucleotides) under uncultured bacterium. RNAcentral describes it as "partial small subunit ribosomal RNA". It matches the Rfam family "Bacterial small subunit ribosomal RNA", at positions 26 to 285 of the family's 1533-position model. The record is from RNAcentral.
AGGACGAACGCUGGCGGCGUGCUUAACACAUGCAAGUCGAGCGGAAAGGCCCUUCGGGGUACUCGAGCGGCGAACGGGUGAGUAACACGUGAGCAACCUGCCCUUAGCUUCGGGAUAGCUCCGGGAAACCGGAAUUAAAUACCGAAUAUGACUUUGGCUGACAUCAGCAGAAGUGGAAAGUUUUUCGGCCAGGGAGGGGCUCGCGGCCUAUCAGCUUGUUGGCGGGGUAACGGCCCACCAAGGCGACGACGGGUA